UACGUAGGUGGCAAGCGUUAUCCGGAUUUACUGGGUGUAAAGGGCGUGUAGGCGGUUUAGUAAGUCAGAUGUGAAAUUCCCGGGCUUAACCCGGUAGCUGCAUCUGAAACUACAAAACUUGAGUACUGGAGAGGAUAGUGGAAUUCCUAGUGUAGCGGUAAAAUGCGUAGAUAUUAGGAGGAACACCAGUGGCGAAGGCGACUAUCUGGACAGUAACUGACGCUGAGGCGCGAAAGCGUGGGGAGCAAACAGGAUUAGAUACCCUGGUAGUCCACGCCGUAAACGAUGGAUACUAGGUGUAGGGGGUAUCGACCCCCCCUGUGCCGGAGUUAACACAUUAAGUAUCCCACCUGGGGAGUACGGCCGCAAGGCUGAA
RNAcentral lists this ribosomal RNA (376 nucleotides) under uncultured bacterium. RNAcentral describes it as "bacterial SSU rRNA". It matches the Rfam family "Bacterial small subunit ribosomal RNA", at positions 524 to 898 of the family's 1533-position model. The record is from RNAcentral.